UGCUAGUUGCACGGGUUCAGACCCGUGGCGGAAAGCUCAGUAACACGUGGCCAAGCUACCCUGUGGACGGGGAUACUCUCGGGAAACUGAGGUUAAGCCCCGAUAGGGCUUCCAUCCUGGAGUGGAGGAAGUUCGAAACGCUCCGGCGCCACAGGAUGCGGCUGCGGCCGAUUAGGUAGACGGUGGGGUAACGGCCCACCGUGCCAGUAAUCGGUACGGGUGAUGAAAGUCAGAGCCCGGAGACGGUAUCUGAGACAAGAUACCGGGCCCUACGGGGCGCAGCAGGCGCGAAACCUUUACACUGCACGCCAGUGCGAUAGGGGGACUCCAAGUGCGAGGGCAUAUAGUCCUCGCUUCUCUGGACCGUAAGGAGGUCCAGGAACAAGGGCUGGGCAAGACCGGUGCCAGCCGCCGCGGUAAUACCGGCAGCCCGAGUGAUGGCCAAUAUUAUUGGGCCUAAAGCGUCCGUAGCCGGCCGGACAAGUCCGUUGGGAAAUCCACGCGCUCAACGCGUGGGCGUCUAGCGGAAACUGUCCGGCUUGGGGCCGGAGGACUCGAGGGGUACGUCCGGGGUAGGAGUGAAAUCCCGUAAUCCUGGACGGACCACCGGUGGCGAAAGCGCCUCGAGAAGACGGACCCGACGGUGAGGGACGAAAGCCAGGGUCUCGAACCGGAUUAGAUACCCGGGUAGUCCUGGCCGUAAACGAUGCCCGCUAGGUGUGGCGCAGGCUAC
This 733-nucleotide ribosomal RNA is filed under the name uncultured archaeon. RNAcentral describes it as "bacterial SSU rRNA". It matches the Rfam family "Archaeal small subunit ribosomal RNA", at positions 52 to 786 of the family's 1478-position model. The record is from RNAcentral.